RNAcentral lists this long non-coding RNA (675 nucleotides) under Astyanax mexicanus (Mexican tetra). Its description in RNAcentral is "lncRNA (ENSAMXG00005021911.1)". Lineage: Eukaryota; Metazoa; Chordata; Actinopteri; Characiformes; Acestrorhamphidae. The record is from RNAcentral.
GUGCAAAAAUACUGUAUUAAAUAAUUGGGUGCGUAUAUGUCUCCAGCACCUAACCGCAAGGACUGUGUUGCUUUGUUGGCGUUGAAGUGACUGACCGUGGAGCUGAAUAUAAGGCUAUGACGCAGAUGCUACUAGAGGAUUCACUGUCCCUGUCAUAAGGCUUAAUAAUAGCGAGAUGAUACAUGAUGGAGGUUUGUAAAUCUGUGUGCCCAGCCUUGAAUAUCAUCCACCGCUCGUGUGUGUGAUAGUUCAGAUACAUGUGAGGGGAAAAACUUUGGCCGUCCUCGUCGUGUGGCUUGUGUUUGUGUGUUUGCAGCAGGUCUAGGACAGUGGUGUAGGUCAGAAAGGUGGGCUGCACAGCAGGAGGCGUAACAGAGGAGCUAUUUUGGGGGCGCCGUUCACAUGUGGGAGGAGAGGCCAUAAAUCAGCCAUCAGAAAUCCACUACACUGAUUUCUCCUCCACCAUCGCUCAUCUGACCACUCUCUAACCAACACUUCUCCAUACAGGGCACUUAGCGCAAGGUGACCAUGUCUGAGGGACAGAGAAAGUCUAAAAAAUCAAGAUCCAAGCCCACGUCCAAUUACUCAGCCACGCGCCGGCUGAUGCUGAAGGUGGGUAAAAAAAAACACGGAGUCAAUAUCUUCAGCAGAUGAAUCACCACCUAUAUCCAUUAU